Long non-coding RNA from Pezoporus flaviventris, 907 nucleotides. RefSeq lists it as uncharacterized. The transcript has 3 exons. NCBI's taxonomy places the organism in Eukaryota, Metazoa, Chordata, Aves, Psittaciformes, Psittacidae. The record is from RefSeq and is a predicted model, not a curated record.
GGAGCAUCUCUCCUGCUCACCCACCAAUGCACCCUUCCCCAUGCGUUCCAGGUGAGCCGGUUCUCAUCAGCACAUUCAGUCUGUCGCUUGCCAAAGCCACCUCAGCCACUGCGAAGGUUUUGUGUUCAAAAGCAGCCAUUGAGGAUGCAGCUGCUUUAAAUCUGUGUUGGGGCCUGCCGGGCACAGCCUGUUUCUUUACUCCACAUGGGUACAAAGCCCUGUGGAAUGGGGCUGGAACGUGCUGACCUGGGAAUAAAGGCCGUAGAAGAGGGAUAGAACCGGUUUCGGCUUCCCUGGGGAACAAUGCUCGGCCUCUCAGCAGGACAUGGCCAUGAUGUGUUUGGAUUUGGGCACCGCGGCAGCAGCUCCGCAACCAAGGCUCUCUGAUGAGAUCUGGGAAGUGGAACCAGCAGAGACAUGAAAUGAAUGGAUCUGUUCUCUCCGGCCAAGGAAAACGUGGUGCAGGGAGGAGAGUGUCACAGAUGUGUUGGCAGAAGGACCUGGCAGACCCUGCAGGACCGAAUCAGCUGCGGCUUCUUCUGCCCCUCUGAGGAUGGAGAAUUCCCCAUUUUCCACCCCGAACCCCUCAAAGUGUCUUUGGAAAGCCCAGGACGAAGUCUGGCUUUUUGCAGCUGCCCUUUAGGUAUCUUAAACGUGCUGGAGAGGGACUCUUCAUCAGGGACUGUAGUGGUAGGACAAGGGGUGAUGGGCUUAAACUGAAACAGGGGAAGUUCAGGUUGAGUGUAAGGGAGCUCUUCCCUGUGAGGGUGCUGAGGCGCUGGCACAGGGUGCCCAGAGAAGCUGUGGCUGCCCCAUCCCUGGCAGUGUUCAAGGCCAGGUUGGACACAGGAGCUUGGAGCAAGCUGCUCUAGUGGAAGGGGUCCCUGCCCGUGGCAGGGGUUGGAGC